Pan paniscus (pygmy chimpanzee) is the source of this 583-nucleotide long non-coding RNA. Lineage: Eukaryota; Metazoa; Chordata; Mammalia; Primates; Hominidae. The record is from Ensembl.
AAACCCAGCAUGUCCACCUAGUUCUAAAGCUCCAAAGAACAGAAGUUUAAAAGAGCACAGGUGUGUGUUUGAGCAAGAAUCUUGCAAAAGCAUUCCUGAGUGUAGCCUCAGUGUGAGGAUCUCAAACUUACUCAGCCAAGGCUGGACAAUUCAAUGGCAGGCUGCAGGUGACCUGGUCUGAGCUAAGGCAGGGGAAAGGCCAGGACCCCACAGACUCCAGGGGCCAUGGAGACCCUGUAUAGUGCAGGACAGCAUGCUGUUUGGAGUUUGCUCUGUUGGAGAUUUUCUGUGCACGUUUCCUGGACAACUUGUUCUUCUCUUCCCUGGUCCCUGGAGCCCCUGCCGACUGAGGUUUCCAGGAAUAGGCCUGUCCUCUCUUAGGCUGUGCGGGAAUGUGCAUCACCAUGGAAACGCUGGAGGUGAAAUCACUCAAGUGUUGGCAAGCGCAGUUUCUCUCUGGAGCUUGGAAAAAUGGAGAGCAGGAGAGCAGGCUCAUGGUGUCACAGAAAGGAAAGAUGCCCUUAAAACAACCCAAAUGCUCUCAAUUUCACUUGGGGCCUUUCCCUUUAAAUAAAAGCUGAAC